AUGGGAAAUAAAUCUACAAAACCCGAAUUGACUGCAGAUGAACAAUGGUUAGAGAAAAAAUGCCCUGGUGCAGGACAGAUAAGCGCAAAUAGGUGGAGAAAUCCCAAAAAAACAAACUGCACCGCCUGGGAGGGGAACUGUAGCCCUGGCCAAAUACAGCAAUUAAGCAAAUGCCUACACGCAGAGAUAGAAAAGACUAGUGGUAAAAAGAAAGUCCUGCGCAUGUACGAAUACGUAAGUUUCUUUGUACCAUGGCAGGAGGAAAGUAAGAAGCGUGAAGAGAAAAGAAACAAAAAGCAAAAUAAACAAAGCACCCUGCCCUCAACAAAAGCAGAGUGGAUGACAAAACUACUGGAAAACAAAGAAAUAGUUUUGAGCAACCAACUGCCGCGUGAUUCUCUCCCAGUCUCUUCCAGGUCCUGCUCACAACACCCACAGCAUGCAGGAUUGCUGAACGACCCUCGUGGAUUCAUCAAAGCCACACAAAAAAGGUUGAACCAAUCCAAGACCCACCAACAUCUCCUUAAAGUGAGUGAUAAGUUUAGACUCUGGUCCUCCCCAACCUCUAGUGUUCACUCGGUGGGGGGUAGGGUGAUCAGUGGCAACACUCGUGAUCCCACUCCUCUGGCUGAGGUCUACUCAUUAGAGGCUACGGGUGUGUCUGGUGGUCGAGAAGAGGAGAACACUCACAGGAAUGGAGAUGCUAGACAAAGAACCCAAGAUUCCACUGAGGGAGAAAGGAGAGAUGGACAUAGACGACGUCAAUAUUGGACAACAGGAUGCCAGCUGACAACAGUCACAACCCUGUGCUUCAUGUUUGUGUUCUCAGUGUUCCUGACAAUAGCCAUCGUAUCCAUGAACAUGACCUGCACCGAUAAUCCCUGUGACCCCCACUGCCCACAGAUUUAUCGUCAGUACCCAAAUGUGACAUGCUCGGAACAAAGCGCUGUCCCUAAACAAGAUCAUCGCACCACGGAAAAAGUGGAACUGACCCGGAAAAAGCGCAGUUUCUGUAGAGGAUACUGCUACGGAGUGGCAGGGGCCAGGAAAUAUGACAACCCAUGUAACCAAACUGCAACCCUGAAGAAGACCGAAGAUCUAUACCUAUGCUACCACAAAACCAGUUUUUCCUCUACAGUAUGGAUCCCACUAAACUCAUUCCACAUUGGAGGCCGUCGAGGUAACAAGUGGAACGAAUAUGACUGGUACCUGUCAAGCACGGACUGGGACCAAGGCUAG
Molecule: long non-coding RNA, 1239 nt
Filed under: Oreochromis niloticus (Nile tilapia)
Lineage: Eukaryota; Metazoa; Chordata; Actinopteri; Cichliformes; Cichlidae
Description: lncRNA (ENSONIG00000031697.1)
Source: RNAcentral